UGCAGAAGAAGCGCCGGGCUAACUACGUGCCAGCAGCCGCGGUAAUACGUAGGGCGCAAGCGUUAUCCGGAAUUAUUGGGCGUAAAGAGCUCGUAGGCGGUUUGUCGCGUCUGCCGUGAAAGUCCGGGGCUCAACUCCGGAUCUGCGGUGGGUACGGGCAGACUAGAGUGAUGUAGGGGAGACUGGAAUUCCUGGUGUAGCGGUGAAAUGCGCAGAUAUCAGGAGGAACACCGAUGGCGAAGGCAGGUCUCUGGGCAUUAACUGACGCUGAGGAGCGAAAGCAUGGGGAGCGAACAGGAUUAGAUACCCUGGUAGUCCAUGCCGUAAACGUUGGGCACUAGGUGUGGGGGACAUUCCACGUUUUCCGCGCCGUAGCUAACGCAUUAAGUGCCCCGCCUGGGGAGUACGGCCGCAAGGCUAAAACUCAAAGGAAUUGACGGGGGCCCGCACAAGCGGCGGAGCAUGCGGAUUAAUUCGAUGCAACGCGAAGAACCUUACCAAGGCUUGACAUGAACCAGACCGCCGCAGAAAUGUGGUUUCCACUUGUGGCUGGUUUACAGGUGGUGCAUGGUUGUCGUCAGCUCGUGUCGUGAGAUGUUGGGUUAAGUCCCGCAACGAGCGCAACCCUCGUUCCAUGUUGCCAGCGGGUAGUGCCGGGGACUCAUGGGAGACUGCCGGGGUCAACUCGGAGGAAGGUGGGGACGACGUCAAAUCAUCAUGCCCCUUAUGUCUUGGGCUUCACGCAUGCUACAAUGGCCGGUACAAAGGGUUGCGAUACUGUGAGGUGGAGCUAAUCCCAAAAAGCCGGUCUCAGUUCGGAUUGGGGUAUGCAACUCGACCUCAUGAA
RNAcentral lists this ribosomal RNA (847 nucleotides) under Arthrobacter pascens. RNAcentral describes it as "bacterial SSU rRNA". It matches the Rfam family "Bacterial small subunit ribosomal RNA", at positions 480 to 1324 of the family's 1533-position model. Lineage: Bacteria; Bacillati; Actinomycetota; Actinomycetes; Micrococcales; Micrococcaceae. The record is from RNAcentral.